CUUGGGGGGCGGGCCCUAACACAUGCAAGUCGAGCGAGAUCUUCGGAUCUAGCGGCGGACGGGUGAGUAACGCGUGGGAACGUGCCCUUCUCUACGGAAUAGUCCCGGGAAACUGGGUUUAAUACCGUAUACGCCCUUCGGGGGAAAGAUUUAUCGGAGAAGGAUCGGCCCGCGUUGGAUUAGGUAGUUGGUGGGGUAAUGGCCUACCAAGCCGACGAUCCAUAGCUGGUUUGAGAGGAUGAUCAGCCACACUGGGACUGAGACACGGCCCAGACUCCUACGGGAGGCAGCAGUGGGGAAUCUUAGACAAUGGGCGCAAGCCUGAUCUAGCCAUGCCGCGUGAGUGACGAAGGCCCUAGGGUCGUAAAGCUCUUUCACCAGGGAUGAUAAUGACAGUACCUGGAGAAGAAACCCCGGCUAACUCCGUGCCAGCAGCCGCGGUAAUACGGAGGGGGUUAGCGUUGUUCGGAAUUACUGGGCGUAAAGCGCGCGUAGGCGGGCUGUUAAGUCGGGGGUGAAAUCCCGGGGCUCAACCCCGGAACUGCCCUCGAUACUGGCAG
This 560-nucleotide ribosomal RNA is filed under the name Roseicyclus sp. Its description in RNAcentral is "bacterial SSU rRNA". It matches the Rfam family "Bacterial small subunit ribosomal RNA", at positions 36 to 639 of the family's 1533-position model. The record is from RNAcentral. Lineage: Bacteria; Pseudomonadati; Pseudomonadota; Alphaproteobacteria; Rhodobacterales; Roseobacteraceae.